CGAGUCGGGCUCGCGGCCAACCUCCCACCCUUGUCUCUAUACACCUGUUGCUUUGGCGGGCCCACCGGGGCCACCUGGUCGCCGGGGGACGCACGUCUCCGGGCCCGCGCCCGCCGAAGCGCUCUGUGAACCCUGAUGAAGAUGGGCUGUCUGAGUACUGUGAAAAUUGUCAAAACUUUCAACAAUGGAUCUCUUGGUUCCGGCAUCGAUGAAGAACGCAGCGAAAUGCGAUAAGUAAUGUGAAUUGCAGAAUUCCGUGAAUCAUCGAAUCUUUGAACGCACAUUGCGCCCCCUGGCAUUCCGGGGGGCAUGCCUGUCCGAGCGUCAUUUCUGCCCUCAAGCACGGCUUGUGUGUUGGGUGUGGUCCCCCCGGGGACCUGCCCGAAAGGCAGCGGCGACGUCCGUCUGGUCCUCGAGCGUAUGGGGCUCUGUCACUCGCUCGGGAAGGACCUGCGGGGGUUGGUCACCACCAUGUUUUACCACGGUUGACCUCGGAUCAGGUAGGAGUUACCCGCUGAACUUAAGCAUAUCAAUAAGGCGGAGGAAUCAUUACCGAGUGCGGGCCCUCGCGGCCCAACCUCCACCCUUGUCUCUAUACACUGUGCUUUGGCGGGCC
Molecule: ribosomal RNA, 616 nt
Filed under: Penicillium sp. MJM1981
Lineage: Eukaryota; Fungi; Ascomycota; Eurotiomycetes; Eurotiales; Aspergillaceae
Description: eukaryotic LSU rRNA
Rfam family: 5.8S ribosomal RNA (bases 174-327)
Source: RNAcentral